Molecule: ribosomal RNA, 468 nt
Filed under: uncultured bacterium
Lineage: Bacteria
Description: partial 16S ribosomal RNA
Rfam family: Bacterial small subunit ribosomal RNA
Source: RNAcentral
GACGAACGCUGGCGGCGUGCUUAACACAUGCAAGUCGAACGGAAAGGCCCUGCUUUUGUGGGGUGCUCGAGUGGCGAACGGGUGAGUAACACGUGAGUAACCUGCCCUUGACUUUGGGAUAACUUCAGGAAACUGGGGCUAAUACCGGAUAGGAGCUCCUGCUGCAUGGUGGGGGUUGGAAAGUUUCGGCGGUUGGGGAUGGACUCGCGGCUUAUCAGCUUGUUGGUGGGGUAGUGGCUUACCAAGGCUUUGACGGGUAGCCGGCCGGAGAGGGUGACCGGCGACAAUGGGACUGAGAGACGGCCCAGACUCCUACGGGAGGCAGCAGUGGGGAAUAUUGCACAAUGGGCGGAAGCCUGAUGCAGCAACGUCGCGUGCGGGAUGACGGCCUUCGGGGUGUGAACCGCUUUCGCCUGUGACGAAGCGUGAGUGACGGUAAUGAGUAAAGAAGCACCGGCUAACUACGUG